Molecule: ribosomal RNA, 253 nt
Filed under: uncultured bacterium
Lineage: Bacteria
Description: partial 16S ribosomal RNA
Rfam family: Bacterial small subunit ribosomal RNA
Source: RNAcentral
GACAGAGGGUGCAAACGUUGUUCGGAAUCACUGGGCGUAAAGCGCGUGUAGGCGGCAGUGCAAGUCGGAUGUGAAAUCCCGCGGCUCAACCGUGGAAGUGCACCCGAAACUGCACAGCUCGAGUGUCGGGGAGGAAGGUGGAAUGCUUGGUGUAGAGGUGAAAUUCGUAGAUAUUAGCUAGAACACCAGUGGCGAAGGCGGCCAACUGGUCCGGUACUGACGCUGAGGUGCGAAAGCGUGGGGAGCAAACAGG